CAGGCUGAAGACCUUACCCGAUUAGCUGAGAGGUGGUGCAUGGCCGUCGUCAGUUCGCACUGUGAAGCAUCCUGUUAAGUCAGGCAACGAGCGAGACCCACGUCUACAGUUGCCAGCAUACCCCUCCGGGGUGAUGGGUACACUGUGGAGACCGCCGCUGCUAAAGCGGAGGAAGGAGUGGGCAACGGUAGGUCAGUAUGCCCCGAAUCUCCCGGGCUACACGCGGGCUACAAUGGUUGGUACAAUGGGCAUCUACCCCGAAAGGGGAAGGAAAUCUCUUAAAGCCAAUCGUAGUUCGGAUUGAGGGCUGCAACUCGCCCUCAUGAAGCUGGAAUCCGUAGUAAUCGCGUUUCAACAGAACGCGGUGAAUACGUCCCUGCUCCUU
Molecule: ribosomal RNA, 385 nt
Filed under: uncultured Methanosaeta sp.
Lineage: Archaea; Methanobacteriati; Methanobacteriota; Methanomicrobia; Methanotrichales; Methanotrichaceae
Description: bacterial SSU rRNA
Rfam family: Archaeal small subunit ribosomal RNA
Source: RNAcentral